GCCAGGCAUGGUGGUGCAUGCCUGUAAUCCCAGCUACUCAGGAGGCUGAGGCAGGAGAAUUGCUUGAACCUGGGAGGCAGAGGUUGCAGUGAGCCGAGAUCUUGCCACUGCACUCCAGCCUGGGUGACAGAGCGAGACUCCGUCUCAA
This 148-nucleotide non-coding RNA is filed under the name Homo sapiens (human). Lineage: Eukaryota; Metazoa; Chordata; Mammalia; Primates; Hominidae. The record is from Rfam by way of RNAcentral.